This 447-nucleotide ribosomal RNA is filed under the name uncultured bacterium. RNAcentral's name for it is "SSU rRNA". It matches the Rfam family "Bacterial small subunit ribosomal RNA", at positions 26 to 518 of the family's 1533-position model. The record is from RNAcentral.
AGAACGAACGCUGGCGGCAGGCUUAACACAUGCAAGUCGAACGGUUGUAGCAAUACAGCAGUGGCAGACGGGUGAGUAACACGUGGGAACCUUCCUAGGGGUACGGAACAACUCAGGGAAACUUGAGCUAAUACCGUAUACGUCCGUGAGGAGAAAGAUUUAUCGCCCCUAGACGGGCCCGCGUAGGAUUAGGUAGUUGGUGAGGUAACGGCUCACCAAGCCUACGAUCCUUAGCUGAUCUGAGAGGAUGAUCAGCCACACUGGGACUGAGACACGGCCCAGACUCCUACGGGAGGCAGCAGUGGGGAAUCUUGGACAAUGGGCGCAAGCCUGAUCCAGCCAUGCCGCGUGAGUGAAGAAGGCCUUCGGGUUGUAAAGCUCUUUUACCAGGGACGAUAAUGACGGUACCUGGAGAAUAAGCCCGGCAAACUUCGUGCCAGCAGCCGC